Molecule: long non-coding RNA, 979 nt
Filed under: Scleropages formosus (Asian bonytongue)
Lineage: Eukaryota; Metazoa; Chordata; Actinopteri; Osteoglossiformes; Osteoglossidae
Description: lncRNA (ENSSFOG00015030189.1)
Source: RNAcentral
AAAUUAACCAAAUAUAGCAAAUAGUGGAUUUUAAUUUCAAAUAUCAGUUUUAUAACUUCUUCUUCAAUUACAUUUAUGACAGAUGUCAAAGAUAUAUAUUUUUAAUGGUCCACUGGAUUUUUCCUUUUCAGAUUCCCCAAAGAACACUUCAGUAUCAGUGAGUCCCUCUGGAGACAUAGUGGAGGGCAGUUCAGUGACUCUGACCUGCAACAGCAAAGCCAACCCAGCAGUGGACACAUACACGUGGUUUAAGAAUGGAGCUGAAAUCUCACAGAGAGGAUCAUGGCAGAAUUAUAACAUCAGUAUCAUCAGAUCUGAAGACAGUGGAGAGUAUCACUGUGAAGCAAGUAACAAAGUUGGAACUCAAAAGUCUAAUAAUGUAAUAUUCAACAUUCAUGGGAAGCAGGCAGCUGUCAUAGGGUCAGUUGGUGGAAUAACUGCUGUCGUGGUUCUUGGGGUUCUUAUUGUUGUUGUGUGGAGAAGCAGGGGAAAAUGGUCCAAAGCAACAAAAGAGAUAGGAAGCACACAGCAGGGAGAGCAGGAUGCAGCAAGCCCUGUGUAUGCCAAUGGCUCAGGAAUGCCCAUGAGACCCACUGAUCAACAGGAUUUGACACUAUACUCCACAGUUCAACCUAAUUCCAAGAGCAAUAAAGAUGUUCUGUAUUCCACGGUGCAGCAAGCAUACUCCCACAAUGAGGAUGAGCUUCAGUACUGCAGUGUUCAAUUUCCCGCUACCAGUACUGGCAGCAGGUCAGCAGUUCAACAGGUACAAGAUAAUUCUGUCAUCUACAGCACAGUUUCCAAAACAUAAGAAACAAGACUCCUUACAUAUCAGUUGACUUGACACAUUUCAUUGUUUUCAUCCAUAUUUUUGUACUCCAUUAUUGCAUCUACACCCAUUUUACUGUUAUAUCUUACAGCUUAUCUUUUGUAGGUUUACUUUAAUAAAAACCUCAAGGGUAACUAUAGAAAUUGAUAU